RNAcentral lists this long non-coding RNA (3055 nucleotides) under Oryza sativa aus subgroup. Its description in RNAcentral is "lncRNA OsN22_12G010160". The record is from RNAcentral. Lineage: Eukaryota; Viridiplantae; Streptophyta; Magnoliopsida; Poales; Poaceae.
AGCGGAAAAGGAAAAAAAAAACUUAUCUCCCGUCGCCGCCUCCCGGAGCCGCUCGCCGCCUCCUCGCGAGCGCCCGCCGGACCGCCGGGUGCCGCCGCCAGCUCCGAGCGCUCACCCGCCGGAGCCGCGCCCCCUACCCCGCCACCUCCUCACGCGCGCCCGACGCUCGCCCUACCCCGCUGCUGCCGCCUCCUCGCAGCCGCCGGUGAGCCGGGUUUGCCGUCUGCUGGGGCCUUCUCCAACGCCGCCGCCGCCUCCUCGCGCGCAGCCUCUGGAGAUCUGGGGUCGCCGUCGGCCAGCUCCUCCUCGCGUGCGCCCGCCCGGGAUCUGUGGUGGGUUACGGCACUACGUAGUAUAGACUCCAGGUUAAGGCACAGGGAGGCAACAAUCCAAUCUAGGAGAGAUGGGAUGGGAUCCCAGCUCAAGGGAGCCCUGGCGGCAGCUACGAUUGGGAGGACCUAAGCCCUACAGCCAAGCUCUAUAAUCAACCCCCUUUUGCUUACUGGCGAUAAGUCAACCAACUUCCAAUGAUGCAGGUACUGAUCCCCUCCUCCCUCCCUCUCCCUCCCUCUUUAUCACCACAUUAGCCGAUUGAUCACCAGCUUUUUAUUCUGAUUGCUCCAGUGAACUUUGUUCACAAAAUAGUGUUUUUUUCAUUUCUGAUGCUUGUGCCUAUCGUGUGACUCCUCCGCUGACAUGUACAUUGAUAUCUGCCCAACUAAUUGAUGAAAUGAUCGUUUACAUUUUUUUUGUCCAGUCAAUAGUUUCUGAUCAGUUUGGAGUAGUCUGUGCCAUGUUGCUGUGAUAAUGCUACAGGUUAAUCCUCCUGGCUCUCUGUACUGAAACAAUUUCUCUGGAUCUCUUUCCCUUUUGUUUUGGACCUUAUACAACCUGCUGAUGGCUAAUAAUGACAUUCAUGAAUAAUAGAUCAUAUUAAAGCUGUUUGCAUGAUCUGCUCUUGUCAAAUAGUUUUAUGCAGUGACAACUCUUAUUAACUGAUCAGGUUGACUUCAAGCAUUGGGCUAAAAACUAAGAUUAUGUAAGUUAAAUAACAUAUAUGCCGUCAUUUUCAAUUUAAGUGAUAUUGUGUCAAUCUUCUGAUCAACUGUUUACAUCUUCGGAUUAUAUAGAUUCAUGUCACCUGUGUAUGUCUUCGGAAUUAUCUAUGUUUAUGUUACUGUGUAUGUCUUCAGAUUUAUAUAUAUUUAGGUCACCUGUGUAUAUCUUGAGAUAUUCCGUAAUUGCAUAUUAUUACAGAUGGCAAAGAUGCUUAAUUCUAUUUUUUUACUGGAUAUCCUUCAGCGAUAUGCCCCUGCCCGGCCUUGUCAGCUGAUAUGGCAUACAUUCCUCCAGGCUGCACUCACUUACACUUUUACUGUAGAUUGAUAGAUUAAUGUUCCUUUGUCAAGGUGAACCAAUCAGCUAAUGAUGGUUCAUAUAGUUCUGAUUUGAGUGCAACUAUGUAUCCACUAUGAUGUAGAAUUGUGGGUAUUUACAGAUGCAAUUUAAAAGGUAUGCCACUUAGGAAUCGACACUCAGGCACAUGCACCUAGGCUUGAUGGGUAAGUCUGGCCAAUUUACAUAUGGGGAACACAAAUUAAUUUAAUCAGUUAUUCCAAUUUAUUCUUCUUUGUUUCUAUGCAUUGCAAUACCAAUUUGAGUGCCUAUCUUGUCAUGCUAUUCAGCAUAAUGUCUUGGCAGGCUAUGCAUAUGUUCAUGCUUAUAUAUGUAGCAUUCAUAUAAGUAACUAUUAAUUGGAUUGCUUGCUUUGUCUAAUGCAGCCUCACCAUUUCAUUUGUGGCGAGUACCUUAAUUCCCUCUUGCCAUUAUCGAGGGAGUAUAUCAUCUGCACCUAAUUCUGUAUAUAGAGUAUUUAUUGACUAGGGUCUUGGAAAUUUUUGAAUUGCUGUCAGAUGCAAGUUCCUCAGAUUGAUGAUUUGAUUAGUUUCACAGCUAAUACCAUUGAUCACAGCUAAACACCACUUAUAGAAGUUUAAUGGAUUUUUAUCUAAAAAGGGGAAAAAGGGAAGUUAAUAACUGAAACUGCAUAGUAGUACUAUGGUCUCUGAACAAAGAAAUUUGUUGAGUUUCCUAGCAACUGCUGGGUGCAUUUUCCUCUUGUUAUGUGUGCCUAACCUUCCAUCCAUUAAAUUUCAAAAGUGCAAAUUCUUUGUAUAGGUAUUACUGGGACUCAAAUGUACACCUUUCAGUUCACUCUCAAUUUUGUUUCUGAAUUGUGUGUCUGCUGAUGCUUGCUUCUGAAUUUUGUAUCUGAAGGCGAAUCAUUGCUUCUGUUUUAUGUAGUCCUCAGCUUGAGUAAGCCAGGAAAUUAUGCACUGUGUUGUCAAAAAGCUAUGCACUUUGUUAUUAGGAGUUGUUUAAAUAAUAAUGGAUCCCCUUUUGUUUCCAGCCUUGGAGAUCAUCCAGGUUCUCAGGGGGUCAGCCCUAUCAACAUAUAUUUUUUAAUCAUUUCAGGAAGAGAAAUAGAGAAUUAUUGCAUGCAUUCCUUUGAUAUCAAAGAUUGGGAUUAAAUUUCCAGCUUAAUCCUGACAGCCGCAAUGUGUCUUGUGCAAAAGGAAGCGAGGCUGCAACUGAAACACGGUGAAUAGUAAAUAAAAAUCUCGCUUUUAGGAAAAAAGAUAGUUACUUCUAAUGUUUUAUGGAAAAGUUCGAGCUACAAAAAUUUCUGAAGCAAGCUUACGGAUUGUUUCUGAUGAGUUUAGCAACUCUAUGGAAACAAGCAUAAGUGCUUCUCAUCUGACCAGUUCCAAGAGAGAAGUAGCCAACUGGCAUGGUUAUGUUCAUCAGAAUAUUGAAUGUCAAAUCGAAAGGAGGUGCCAACCUAUAGCUAUCAACGACAUGGACACCAUGGUUCAGAUCCAUAAAUUUGGGGAUCAUGGAUGUCUAGGUUCAGAAAAUUUUGGAUUUUAGACAACAAUUUUCUAGAAUUACCAAUUCAGAAAAACACAUUAUGCGUUUUGUUAUAAUGUAAUAAAAUACCAAUUUACGUUUAUUUGAUGAAUUAUCAAAGCAACGAUUACAAUACUUUUAUUUU